RNAcentral lists this long non-coding RNA (2775 nucleotides) under Hordeum vulgare. Its description in RNAcentral is "long non-coding RNA (HVUL_LNC006931)". The record is from RNAcentral. Lineage: Eukaryota; Viridiplantae; Streptophyta; Magnoliopsida; Poales; Poaceae.
AUAUCUCACGACUCUCCUUCCUCAAUUUUCUAGGUCAGCAAAGGAAAAAAAAGAAUCACGAUCUCAAAAGCCGAGCCAUCCUUGGCGGUGACCGUCUUCUCUACCGAUAUGAUGGCAGUUCCUCAUCGUCUAUAGCUCUCAGGCGGCGAUCUCAGAAGCCUAUACCAUGGCGGCGAUCUCAGAAGCCUAUACCAUGGCAUGACGCCUUCUGCCAGCACUCCUCCAUUGCUACAUGCCUAGACACAAUCAUCCUCAGGAAAGGAGCACCAGUUGCAAAGACCCUCAGGUUAGAUCUUACAAACUGCCAUGCCAAGUCAGUCAUCUAUGCUCUCUCAUGACCUCAUCUUUCUCAUGUGUUCUGCUGCAAAUUUGUGCAUAUAACUCCAUGGCUCUCUCCAUAUUAGGUCGCCACGUCCAUAUUUACUAAUGUUUCUUCUUGCAUCACGUGGAGAUGGAACUGUCAAAAGCAAGCAUUAUCUAGAUCAAUUCGUUUUCAUCCUAUUAUACUUGGAUCUGAUUUCUGUUUCUCAUGUCUAUUCAUAAUAAAACGUCAAUGAUUUUGGUCCCUUUUUCAGGGUUCCUUUCUCAGAUUGCUUUUCUCCUCAUAAUAUAUGAGUUCUGAUGUUCUAUGCAUGCAUCUUUCAUAAUAUUACAAUCUCUCCACCCUUAGGUUUAAAAUAUGUAUGAUUGCUUUUCUGCGAGGACUGUUCGGGUUGUGUCUUGGCCUUGAAUUUGAUGAACGAUAAUCAGUUCUUUGGUGAGACGCCCAGCUGUAGGUGGUUGAAGGAUAUAUCACAAGGCAUCGACUGGAUGUUCAUCGUGUCCAAUAUAUUCAGAUCAUGUGAUACAGAGCCAAGAACGGAAUAGCUAGCAGAAUAGCCAGUCCAAAAUUGAGAAGAUUUUUCGUUGGGCAUCACACUGCCAAACAUUCAUAAACUUAUUAUGACAUCAUUGACUAUGUCAGGUUAGUGAAGAAUCCUUGUGAAAAAUGAUGACCACCUAACUGGAUGGGUUGUGUACCAUAGAGCAUGGGUGGCCCGGAGUUAGCAUCAACCUCCCCGUUGCUUCUAUAAAAAUAAGAACUUCUCUGCUGCUUCUUAUCUCAUGUGAAAGGCAUAUGCCAGUACACAACAAUGUUGCCCAGUGAAGGUACGAAUACAUGUGAAUCUUCUUACAAUUUAAUCUUGACAUUUUUUAAUGAUUGUCUAUUCUGCUUCUAAUCAUGAUGAUGUCCAACAUAGUUUUAAAUAGCCCGUUAUAGCCCCGCUAUAGCCUCGCUAUAGCCUUUUCAGCAAGGUGUUGCUAAAUGGUAUCAUGUACAAAUAUGCCGCUAUAGCCCGUUAUAGCUGAUCAUGUACAAAUGUUUUUAUUCACUGGGUUCUAUAGUUAAUCGGGUUUUCAUAGUAUUAUUUUGUCUGAAUCAGCAUGAUCUAAUAAGGAAACUCAUAAUAGUCUUCCAUGAGAAAUGCUAGAUAUCACAAAAACUCAUUUCAGUACAGUUAAUAUCUGCUUCUCCUUGUAUAUGUACCAAUAUCAGAAGUUUGAAAUGUGAAACGCUCACAAAGAACUCUCCUGCCAGCAAUGAUGACAUCUUAGCAUAAAAACAGUGGCAACCUCAACACAAUUUAGUAUGGUGAUGACAUGUCCGUGUCCAUUUAUAUAUAUGGUUGAUACUCACGAGAGUUAGUAUCUCCUCCUCAUUAUAUAUGUAACAAUGUGUCUAUAGUUUUAAAUAGAUGAAGUUAGCGAACAUCUUACUUCAUACAGACCUCAUGGCCAUUUAGAAUAUAAUAUUCUUAUGGUGUGUUUGGCUGUUAUUUUCUGAAAUUUUGUAGCAUUAUCUAUCAUAACUUUCUCUUGCUCUCCACAAAAUUUAUGUGGUUGAUUAUUUGACUAAAGUAUUGUUAAAAGCAAAAAAUUGAUUAAGGUUUGGCCUGUCUUUCGUUCCAAAUAGUAUAACUUGGUAUCUUCCGGUGAAUGGAUAAGGAAAUAAUAGAAGCAAAAAUAGAGAUCCGCAUAGAUAAGCAAAACUUCUGAAUUUAUAUUUGAUCUCAUAGCCGCUUAUUCUCUUGAUAUAUUUAUAUUUUAGCUCGCAGAGCCACUUACUUAUGUGGAUAUAUUUAUAUUUUAGCUCAUAGCCACUUCUCUUGAUAUAUGGCUGAACUGGUUUUGUGUCAAUAAAAUUUGAUGUAAUUUUUUAUGACCUUUUAUUCACUGGGCGCUAGCUACGCAGGUCAUUCAUUUAAAUAUGCCUUGGGUUAAGCAUUCACAUUCAAUUAGAAUUGGUCGUAGGUUCAUCAACGGUAGCAGUGUGAAAUAAAUAAUAGUUUAAAAGUAAUACUCAAUAUUUUAUGUCAUUGCAAAUUUGCAAUUAAAAUGAUUUAUUUCACACCAUUACGGAGAAUAGUUAUUCCUUUAGUGGACUUUCGUGAGAAAACUAUAUGUGCUUUACUUGUGGAUAAGGCCUUCAUAUAAUUACACGGCAAAGAAAGGCUUUCAUAUCAUUUAAUAUUUGGCAGAGCAAUUUCGGGUCAGCUAGCUCCUUAUAGAAGAUUUAUCAUAAGAAAUGUAUGCCGGUUUGGAUAUACUACCUCCUUUUGGGUCUACAACCCACACAUAUUUUGUGUUCAAGUAUUAAUUACCAUCUUCUAGACAAGUAGAAGUUACUUUAGAUAAAAAAAAUCAUUUGCAUUCAUAACAAAUACAUUUAUCUGAGAAAAAAUCUUAAUAAAUCUUGGCCUAUACAUAUAUUUGAAGGAUAACAUUCUUAUAAAG